Vespa crabro (European hornet) is the source of this 1598-nucleotide long non-coding RNA. RefSeq lists it as uncharacterized. Lineage: Eukaryota; Metazoa; Arthropoda; Insecta; Hymenoptera; Vespidae. The record is from RefSeq and is a predicted model, not a curated record. The transcript is spliced from 3 exons.
GAAGAAAUAUUUUAUAUUUCAUUGGAAUGCUCGUAUCUAUUUAUAGGAUUAAUUCUAAUAACAUUUCAAAUGUAUAUUAUCGAAGAAUGUCAAUUUAAUGAUUUAGCGACAUCGAAAAGGAAAAAGAUAAAAUUUAUAAUAUUCGUUUUCUUUUGUUGGAUAAACUUUAAUGUCAUUAUUUAUUGAUCAAUACGAUAUCAAAACGAUAUCAAAAUUAAUUCGAUUAUUAGCCGAUUAUUUUAUUUAUCCUGAAUAAUUUUUACGAAUUGUAAAUAUCUAUCUAAUCAACGAGAAAAAGAUCGAUAAUAUUUUAUCGAUCACAGAAAAGUAUCAGAUACCACCAUGAGAUUGUCGGAGGGUCGAUCUCUAAGAAGAUACAUCCUUCGUCAGGAGUCUUUCACGAUCGUGAUCGAUGUAGCGAGCUCGUACUUGCGAAUCUUGGAAGCUGAAUCGAUCGAUAGAUCGAUCGAUUCACGAGCAUGGAAGAGAGUCGGUUAUCCAGUGAUCGAGACGCGUUCCUGUACGAUCUGCGUGAGUUUACGAGCCGUUUCUUGCGCCCUCGGGCUUUAAAAGCGAGGCCAUUCGAACAAGAGAGCAAAAGGGAGAGGGAGAGAGAGAGAGAGAGAGAGAGAGAGAGAGAGAGAGAGAGAGAGAGAGAGAGAGAGAAAGAAAGAAAGAGAAAUCAAAGGCUACCCUUCGAAUGCACUGCUCUCUUUGUGUCUUCUACGGCGACGCAUCGACGCGCACUUGGAAUGUCGCUUUAUCGUAGCGAGAAAAAGAUUUUUAUUUCUGCUAUACUACUCUUUUAUAUCUACAGGUCACGACCCUGGGAAACAGCUGUCCAUUUGUAAGAAGAAGAAGAAGAAGAAGAAGAGGAUGAAGAAGAAGAAGAAGAGGAUGAAGAAGAAGAAGAAGACGAACGUUGGGAGGACGAGGGGAAGAGAGGAGUGAAGACGAAAGGAGAACUCACGACGCCGCCAAAUUUGGUCUCGCGAAUGUUGGCGGAAUUACAGAUCGUCGCCUCCUUCUUGUGUCCUUUCUCUCGACUCUCCUCGUCCCUUUAUGCCAGCCCUUCCUUUCUCUCUCUCUCUCUCUCUCUCUCUCUCUCUCUCUCUCACUCUCUCUGCAACUCUACAACUCUCGAACUUCUUCAAGUUCGAACCUUUUUCGCGAGAGCAAGAAGACGAAAAGUUCAGAGUAUUUCGCGCUAAUUCGUUCGGUCGGCAAGCCGACUGACCAGCCGGAUUCUCUUUCACCCUUUUCUUCGGAGCCAUCAGACGAUUCUCCUCUUUAAAACGUCCGGCCCGCUUUUUGCUGACUUCAAGCGGGAUAUAUUCCGGAGCUUGUCCUCGUCCCGACCAAAAGUACAUUCAAAUUGAGAUUAACUCGAGGACGACGAUCGCGUUAAAAAUCUGCCCGGUGCGCGACGGAUAACGAAGAAACUUACUCUAUAUCGAGAUGUCCCUCUUUUCUGUUACUUCAUGGAACUUAAAUUAAUCACAAUAAGAUUCUAUUAUUUUCCUAUGUCCUUGUUUUAUUUCCAAAAGGGAUAAAUCCAUUUUACAUUUUAACAAUACCAGUUACGAAUUGAUAUUAAA